Small nuclear RNA from Mastomys coucha (southern multimammate mouse), 134 nucleotides. RefSeq annotates it as U11 spliceosomal RNA. The record is from RefSeq and is a predicted model, not a curated record. NCBI's taxonomy places the organism in Eukaryota, Metazoa, Chordata, Mammalia, Rodentia, Muridae. The transcript has a single exon.
UCUAAGGGUUUCUGUCGUGAGAGGCACAUGCAGGGAAAUUCGAUUGCUCUGCAUGCAGAAUCGACAUCAAAAGAUUUUGGAAGCAUAAUUUUUUGGUAUCUGGGUAGCUGGUGAUCAUUGGCCCCAGCACCUGU